GAUUUGAUUUGGUUUGAAAAACCAAAUUAAAACAAGUCAUAAGAUAGAAUCCUAGUAAGACUAGGAUUCCACCUUGCGCCACAUAAUCCUUCUCCACGCCCUCUCUCUUAUUCAAUGUCAAUCUCCACUUAUUUUGUGUGACAAAAGCCCUCUCUCAGAUCUCUCCCACGUUCACAAAAGGUCUCCUCUCUUCUUUCUUACAUGGAAGGUGGUUUGGAUCAAAUCUAAAAGGAAUAAGUUUGGAUUUUGAAUUUUAUGAGAUAGAGUUUUAGAAAUCCAAAACUCUUUCAAUUUUGCACCGAAUUUAUCCAAUUUUUUUUUAAAAUUUUCAUGGCUUUUAGGGUAUACAUUGUGCACCAUUUUCUGGUAAUCCAUGCACAAAAAUAUGAAGGAGGUGCUCAAGAGUUGGGCGUCCCUUAACUUGCCAUGUUUGGAUAAGCCUUGACUAGGUGUUUGACUUAGACAAGGACUCUAUCAUAUCUCUCUAUAUAAGAUGAGUUUCUUUAUGAAAUUUUAGAAAAAGUCAUAGAUUUGAGAGACCUUUGUUUCAUCCAAAAAUUAGAAAGAAAUACCUUUGGGUCAUGGAGAUAUAAAAGAUGCAAGUUUGAGCGUCUAGAGAGAAAAACGUGAAGAAGAAGAGGGUCUUCUUCUAGGGUUUUUGUUUUCAUAUCUUUCCUCCCUCCAUCUUGAGUUUCCUGAGAGCAUCUCAGAUCUGAAACUCCUCCUUCUACUUUUCAUCUUUGGAAGAGUCCAAAUCAAGAAGAAGGAGGCACCUGAUCAACCAUCAAAGAAAGAUCAGCACAGUACUAGCAUACUGUGCUGAUUUCCUGAAGCAGGACUUCUGAUCGAGAUUCGUGGGCUCGUGUGGAUGACUCCUAGAGGCCGGACAUGNNNNNNNNNNNNNNNNNNNNCAAUUUUGCACCGAAUUUAUCCAAUUUUUUUUAAAAUUUUCGUGGCUUUUAGGAUUUACAUUAUACACCCUUUUCUGGUAAUCCAUGCAUGAAAAUAUGGAGGAGGUGCUCAAGAGUUGGGCGUCCCUUAACUUGCCAUGUUUGGAUAAGCCUUGACUAGGUGUUUGACCUAGACAAGGACUCUAUCAUAUAUCUCUAUAUAAGAUGAGUUUCUUUGUAAAAUUUUAGGA
This 1141-nucleotide long non-coding RNA is filed under the name Elaeis guineensis (African oil palm). RNAcentral's name for it is "long non-coding RNA (EGUI_LNC082461)". The record is from RNAcentral. Lineage: Eukaryota; Viridiplantae; Streptophyta; Magnoliopsida; Arecales; Arecaceae.